Molecule: transfer RNA, 70 nt
Filed under: Dipodomys ordii (Ord's kangaroo rat)
Lineage: Eukaryota; Metazoa; Chordata; Mammalia; Rodentia; Heteromyidae
Rfam family: tRNA
About the family: Transfer RNA (tRNA) molecules are approximately 80 nucleotides in length. Their secondary structure includes four short double-helical elements and three loops (D, anti-codon, and T loops).
Source: Rfam by way of RNAcentral
GGGAAUGUGGCUUAGUGGUAGAGUGCUUGCCUAAUAUGCAAGAAGUCCUGGGUUCAAUUUCUUAGUGCCA